AAUCAAAUUUUAUUUUGGUUUUAUAAAAAUAUAUUUUUUAUUUCUCUAAUUGCGAAAAAAAUAGGAAAAAGUUUUUUUACUCCCAAUAUUUUAAUUUCUAUUUAUAGAAUUUAUAGAAAUAAUAUUAUAUUUUAUUCCAUUUUUAUUUCUAUAAUAAAAAUUCACUUGUUUUGAAUCGGUUGGUAGCUCGAGUCAAUCCGCAUUCGUAAAAGGAAGUUUCCGAUUCAAGUCGUUUUAAUUUUUCAAGUAUUUUUUUUUAUUUAACAAAUAGUUAUUGUUGAUCGAAAAUAUUUUUUCCAGUUUAAAAAGUAUUAAAAUCUAUAACAAUCUAACAUAAAAUUUAUUGAAGAAGCUCAAUUAUUUACAAUUUCUAUAAAUUAUCUGGGAAAUAGGCGAAAUAUGACAACCUAACCUUAAAAUUUUCAAUUGUCAAAAAAUGGUCAAAAUUUAGUAAAUUUCUUAUCAACGCAAAUUUUUAUCUUGUUUUCAAAAUAAAAAUAUCAAAAAAUCCAAAGGGACAUUUUGUAAAUAUUAUUUUUGUGCUUGUGCAGAUGAUUAUUAUUUUCUGUGAAUUUGAACUUUUUAUGUGAUGUGCAAAUUUUGUGCUUAUAGAAGAAUUACUACAAAAUAAAACAUUUUCUAUCUACAUUUGUAACAGAAAAUUAAUUAGGGGAAAAAGUGUAUCGUUUGACAUUUAUAUGUAUUCUUGAAACUAUGAGCUCCGAAGAAAACAGGAAAUUCGGUUGAAAUAAUGAACGAAAAUGGGCAGCAGAUGGUCUCGAAAAAUUCAUACCAAACAUAAAAUCAAGUUUCCCUCUCUUUGCAAAGUGAGUGAGAGAGAGAGAGAGAGAGAGAGAAAAAAAAUGCGAGGGAAAUAGAAUUUUACAGAUGGGAGAGAAUUUUCAGCUGUGCGCGGUUCUCGAUAAAGUGCGCUGAAAAAUUCACACGAUCAUAUAUAUAUAGAAUAAAAUAGAAAGAACGAAAAUAUUGUACGAAAAAGAAAUAAAGACAAGAGGCCCGCACAUGUGUGUGUGUGUGGUUAGAAUACGGAAUUUCCCGGAGAAUGGCUAUAAAGGCAAAAAAAAAGAUAUAGGGACAAAGAUUCACCUUAUAACCAUCAUCAUCAUAUUAUUCUCUAUCCUCUCUUCUAUUUCUAUUAUUUCCUUCCUUCUCUUUUCUCUUCUCUUUCAGUUCUCACCUUCAUCGCAACCCA
This is a long non-coding RNA of Leptopilina boulardi, 1213 nucleotides long. RefSeq lists it as uncharacterized. The transcript has 3 exons. The record is from RefSeq and is a predicted model, not a curated record. Lineage: Eukaryota; Metazoa; Arthropoda; Insecta; Hymenoptera; Figitidae.